Molecule: long non-coding RNA, 2137 nt
Organism: Acinonyx jubatus (cheetah)
Lineage: Eukaryota; Metazoa; Chordata; Mammalia; Carnivora; Felidae
Exons: 4
Source: RefSeq, a predicted model, not a curated record
CAGCCGGCGCGCGGCCGGGCGUGCCCGCUGCGCACGCGUGCUGGGCCCUUCCGCGUCCGAGCGGCGGUGGCUCGGCGUACGGCCGCGGGGACGCCUUCGGGGAGGGCCCCGCGGAGGGGCGCUGACAGCCCGGCUUGAAUGGCUGACCCUUGGUCGGUCUCGGAUCCGGCCCAGGGCGGCGCCCCUACCUCGCGGCCCGGCCCACCGGGCUGACCGCUCAAACGCCUGCUCCCAGAUCUCUCCGUGCAGGACCUUUGAGCCCCACACUCCCCUUUCCUAAGACGGUGUCCUCUCCGCGAAGGUCGUGCGGGGAUGGAUGAGGGGACGCAGGGAAGGCAGGCUGGGCGAAAUGGGGUGGCCAGCUCCUGGGGCCCAGUGGACACGGUCUUCCCCGGAAGGCCACUCCCACCAGCCUGCGCUCCAGCCCAGUGGCACCAGGCGCUUUCUCGGGCCGCGCCACACUGCUUCCGCUCUCCCGUGCUUUGCUCCUCUCCGACCUUUUGCUUGGAAGGUGUUUUCCCUCCUUCUGGCCUCUUCUGCCCGACUCUUUUUCGCUAAUGUUAUCCCAGGAUGCCGCUUGGUGAAGGUCCUGCAGUGCGUACUCAGUGCAAAUCUGUUCUCCGGGGUGCGCGAAUGUGGAACUCCUGGUCUUGGCAGGCUCCCCACUCUAAAGAGACUGAAUUUGGCUGAAUGGCGUUCUCCCUAGGAGGCUCCUCCAGCACUCAGCCCUCACCGUCAGGAAGAAAUAGCCCGCCUGAAGUGGUUUUCCUGCACCAGAACUGCCUGACGCUGGACUGGGAUGGGUCUGCAGUCCCCAUCUCAGGCCUUUUGAUUUUCCCUGUGCUCCCCACAAGUUGAACACAAUUUUCCGUAGUCGCUCCACGUUUACAUAAGUGACAAGACUUCAGAGAAACAGGGUGGAAUAUUCAGGCAGCACAGGUGUCCUAGCUAGGGAGGUCAGAGAAUCUAGCUAGGGAGCGCUGGGUUGUCCGUUCACCGGCCUCCCUUGACCCUUCUUCCUUCUGCCUGCAAAGCACUGAGGGUGAUGGAAUGGAAAGAAAGGACCCUGGACUGCCAACCUUGGACUUGUUUGACUUAAAAUGUGCGCUUUCCGAGGCCAGAUCACUAAGAGCUCUGCAGCUUGCGCCUUCUUUCCUGCGGAUUCCCACUCCAGGGGACGCCAGCCCUGUGUUGGGAGGACACUGGAGCAGCUUGUGGAGAGGCCCCCGUGGGGUGGAACGGAGGCCGCCUGCCAAUAUCCAGAAACACCCGAGUCAGCCAUCUUGGUAGCCCACCUGCAGCCCCAAAGCUGGCUCACCCACCCUGAAUUCCCGACCAAAGAAACUGCACAUGAUAAUCAAUGUCUACUGUUGUUUUCAACCAUUAAGUUUUGGGGUAACGUGACACAUGACAAUCAAGAAUAGACAAGUUCCCGGGGCACGGAUCCCGGUGUCUCUGCCAUACGCCAGGGAUGUUCGUGGGCUUGGACGAGGUGUCCACUCCAGCGGGCCCAGAGCUCCCACGACAGUUGUUCUGUGGCAAGCCUGGAGGCCUCACUAUCCGUGCAGCCCCGUCCUCAGCCAAGGACAGUGGGAACUCUGAGACUCCCCUCUCCACGGAUUCCAGCAGCACCACUGCGUCCUCAGCUCAGUAAUACGGGGUGGCCUGGCUGGACGCCAUCUCUCUGUGCCAGGGCGGGAGACUGCCACAGUAGCAAGCUGGGGUGGGCAAGGUGGACCUCAGGAAUUUCCCUUCCCUGGGGAUUGCAGUCCUGCAUUUCCUGUUUUUCACACCUGAAAAGGGCUGCCUCGUCUGUUUUGUCCAUGUUAAUGAUUGGUUGCAGUGGAGGGCCAGUCUGGCACAGGAUUCUCUCCAAUAGCCCAUACAGGAGCCUCAAUCAAAUGUGUUUUUUUCAAAGGCAAGCUCUUUCUACGUUUGUGGGCAACCUGGUGAGCUCUGCAUCAAGCCUAGAAUUUAGUUAGUGGUGAUGGACUGACGUUGGUUUCUUAGUUGUGAUAAAGCUACCACGGAAAUGUAAGGUGUGGACAUUAAAGGAAAUGGGUGGGGGGAGCUCUGUGUUAUCUGUGCAUCUUUCCUGUAAAUGUGACAUUAUUGCAAUAAAAAAUGUUAAAUGAUC